RNAcentral lists this ribosomal RNA (254 nucleotides) under uncultured bacterium. RNAcentral describes it as "partial 16S ribosomal RNA". It matches the Rfam family "Bacterial small subunit ribosomal RNA", at positions 107 to 354 of the family's 1533-position model. The record is from RNAcentral.
UGAGUAACACGUGGGUAACCUGCCCUAAAGUCUGGGAUACCGCUUGGAAACAGGUGCUAAUACCGGAUAACAACAAUAGCUGCAUGGCUAUUGCUUAAAAGGCGGCGAAAGCUGUCGCUAAAGGAUGGACCCGCGGUGCAUUAGCUAGUUGGUAAGGUAAUGGCUUACCAAGGCGACGAUGCAUAGCCGAGUUGAGAGACUGAUCGGCCACAUUGGGACUGAGACACGGCCCAAACUCCUACGGAAGGCAGCAG